AACGAACGCUGGCGGCAGGCUUAACACAUGCAAGUCGAACGCCCCGCAAGGGGAGUGGCAGACGGGUGAGUAACGCGUGGGAAUCUACCGUACCCUACGGAAUAACGCAUGGAAACGUGUGCUAAUACCGUAUACGCCCUACGGGGGGAAAGAUUUAUCGGGGUAUGAUGAGCCCGCGUUGGAUUAGCUAGUUGGUGGGG
Molecule: ribosomal RNA, 200 nt
Filed under: uncultured bacterium
Lineage: Bacteria
Description: partial 16S ribosomal RNA
Rfam family: Bacterial small subunit ribosomal RNA
Source: RNAcentral